This 444-nucleotide long non-coding RNA is filed under the name Vitis vinifera (wine grape). RNAcentral's name for it is "long non-coding RNA (VVIN_LNC001997)". Lineage: Eukaryota; Viridiplantae; Streptophyta; Magnoliopsida; Vitales; Vitaceae. The record is from RNAcentral.
UUGGUUAUCCCCUUGACAACGUUUGAUGCAUGAGCAAAUUAUUGGCUACAGUUCCACCAACAACACAGAAAAGAGGAAAGCCCUCACAAUUUCAGUCCAAGAAACCCAUGAACUUCUGUAGCAAAGGUUAGUGAACUUCACCAUUACUUUCCUCCGACCUCAAAGAAUCCAUGCAUCCGUAAAAUUGCGAAUACAUCCCUAAUUUGAAAGAUAUUCUAUCAGACAUGAAACUAGUCUCAAAUUACGAUCAUCUAAUUUUGUGUUGUUUUCUGUCAACAGAUGGGCAAGCUGUUGCAACUUAAUUCCUACUGCACAUUCGCAACUCCAUAAGUAUCAUUCCCCACCAUCAUGCAAUCAAAGGGAACAUUCUUCUACAUAUCAAGAGAAGUAACUCCAGCAAAAGAAAAAUGAUGAUAAUCCUAAAUAAGAUUCAAGCACAUUUCC